RNAcentral lists this ribosomal RNA (520 nucleotides) under uncultured Glomus. RNAcentral's name for it is "SSU rRNA". It matches the Rfam family "Eukaryotic small subunit ribosomal RNA", at positions 569 to 1091 of the family's 1831-position model. The record is from RNAcentral. Lineage: Eukaryota; Fungi; Glomeromycota; Glomeromycetes; Glomerales; Glomeraceae.
AGCAGCCGCGGUAAUUCCAGCUCCAAUAGCGUGUAUUAAAGUUGCUGCAGUUAAAAAGCUCGUAGUUGAAUUUCGGGACCGAUAUAUCGGUCGUGCCUCGGUACGUACUGGUAUUUUCGGUUUCUACCUUCUGACGAACCUUGAUGUCAUUAAUUUGGUGUCUUGGGAAAUCAGGACUGUUACUUUGAAAAAAUUAGAGUGUUUAAAGCAGGCUCACGCUUGAAUACAUUAGCAUGGAAUAAUGAAAUAGGACGUUUGAUUCUAUUUUGUUGGUUUCUAGGAUCGACGUAAUGAUUAAUAGGGAUAGUUGGGGGCAUUAGUAUUCAAUUGUCAGAGGUGAAAUUCUUGGAUUUAUUGAAGACUAACUACUGCGAAAGCAUUUGCCAAGGAUGUUUUCAUUAAUCAAGAACGAAAGUUAGGGGAUCGAAGACGAUCAGAUACCGUCGUAGUCUUAACCAUAAACUAUGCCGACUAGGGAUCGGAUGAUGUUAAUUUUUUAAUGACUCAUUCGGCGCCUUAC